Molecule: long non-coding RNA, 1180 nt
Organism: Daphnia pulicaria
Lineage: Eukaryota; Metazoa; Arthropoda; Branchiopoda; Diplostraca; Daphniidae
Exons: 6
Source: RefSeq, a predicted model, not a curated record
AUAAUCUUAUGAAAAAAUCUCACUAAAAAACUUGUGAUUGUUACAGAAUGCAGCUUAACAAAAGCUACCAGAUCCCACCAUCGAACAAGGAUUUAAAUUUCUUUUCAAAAAUCUUUCUGUUUGCAGCCCAAGUUUAUACCAAACAUAUGGUAAAUGAAUUCAACUCCAUUGAAAGUCAAAUCAUGCUGCCAAGCUUCACCUGCAGCUCGUGAAGGAGUGUCAACUCCUCACAAUUCUGUAGAACAUGAAAAGGAAGAUCUCAUUUUCUGAAGUGGCAAUAGCAAGACCUUAGAAAAACAGUUGGAACACAGAAAUCCAAUGGAUACAGCAAGAACAACCCACCCACAAAGAAAUUUAACUGAACCCCGAAGACCAUUUUUAUUUUACCUUAAAUCCCCAUUUCAAAAGUUUGCCUGAAAUAGCAAGAAUUCCAAUUUGCAGUCUAACUCGCGACCAGCUAGUCUUACCAUGUGCAGGGGCCGAGAGGAUGCGGCCCUUAGUCUCGAACAUCGAAAGGACGUCGACGACGGAUCAUCCUUUAUCGUUGUUGGAAUACCAAAGGCUGAACAAGGAAUCAGGACGAUAAAAAAAUUGGUUUCUGAAUGGAGGUUAUUUCGAAAGAGGAGAGCCCAAUAAUGGACUACCACUAAACAUGCAUUCACUGCUAAUUUACAAUCCAAUUCCAUCAACACACCUGGCGAACGAGCUAUGUUUGCAAAUGUUUUAAAUUGAAAUUUAUUUAUCAAAGAUGAGCUGGAAUGUUUGCAGUAGCUUUCAGAUGACAAGGGACCUGGUUUAAAGCAAUCGGCAGCCUCUUCAUCUUGUCUCCUCCAGAGACUCCUUCCGCGAUUUCCCUGGAGAAAAAUCAGGGUGAUCAAGUUCAUCAUACCUGUCGUGGAAAUGCAGACCGAAAGAGGAGUGCAAUCAACUAGUAAAAACCGGAAUAUCCAAUAAUGUUAAACUCUGUCCACCUGGACGAGGUUUCCAUCCGUCCAUGAAAUUGGUCAAGAAGAAUGCAGCCCAGCCAGUUAAUAAGGUCGGGAAAUUAAGUCAGCGGUGGCCCACAUCUUUCUAGGGCAUAUGAAUCGGAAGUGUAAUCCCAUCCCGGCCAUCCUUAAAGAAGCUGGUAUAUAUCAAUCAUUUUUCUUAUCUGUUUUAUCUAAUAAUCUUUCGAUUUAUU